CUAGGUGGAAAUCAUUAGUUUAAAUUAAAAAAAACAAAUUAACUAAAAAAUUGAUUAAUUAAAAAAACUCAAUUACAAAUCAAAAACACAAAAUCUCUCCUUCUUCUCAUUUUCUUCAUCAUCUCCUUCUUCUUGAACAUCUGGUCCCAAUCUCUGAGGCAAAACAACAAACACUAUCUCUUCAACAACAUAUUCAUCCAUGGUAACACUUUCACAACAUGAUUUGUUUGUUUAACAAAAUAAAAACCCAGGAACGGAAUGAUUAUGAUGGAUGAGAAAAAGCUUCGAACUCAACUUGACCCAAUGAAACCACCCUGCAACUCAAAACAAAUUACACAAGAUUAGAGCAAAGUUUGCAACUUUCUGAAGUGAGCAUUCAAAAAACGAAAAUGGGUAUCAUAUUUGAGAAAUUACUCUGUUUUCCUCUCCUUUGUUGCGAUUUGCUCCUCCUCUUGUGCUUCCUACUGAAACUGUGAACUAGAUCUGCUCACGUUACCAGAUCUGCUUUCUCUUUCUCGCAUCUUCUCUAUCGUCCUCACUUGAUCCAGAGCAACCAUUCCCACUUCCCCUGUCAUUGAACCGCCAAACAACAACCAACCUCACCUUCCAUGAACCAUCAAUCACCACCAUCGCUUCUUCCUCAGGAGAAAUUGAUCCCUGGCACAAAGCCUCAACCAAACCCUUCACCCAAUCACAACCUUCCCCUUCAUAAAACCACUUCAACCCAUAAUCUCUGCCACAAACCUGAAGCCACCCAGCAAGCACUACCUUCAAACCAACAACCAAAAAACAACACCAACUCAAAACCUCCAACAACUGAAAUCCUCCGCCACCGCAACCUAG
Molecule: long non-coding RNA, 843 nt
Filed under: Lotus japonicus
Lineage: Eukaryota; Viridiplantae; Streptophyta; Magnoliopsida; Fabales; Fabaceae
Description: long non-coding RNA (LJAP_LNC002093)
Source: RNAcentral